Dermacentor albipictus is the source of this 296-nucleotide long non-coding RNA. RefSeq lists it as uncharacterized. The record is from RefSeq and is a predicted model, not a curated record. Lineage: Eukaryota; Metazoa; Arthropoda; Arachnida; Ixodida; Ixodidae.
CUUUGCUCGUUCCCUGCUACAUAGCUUCACCGACUUUCUUAGCUUGCGUCGAAAAGGAGACUACACUGAAAAAGUACUUGUGUUAGAUGUCUGCGUUAUACAGCGCCCGAUAUGUUCUGAUAGGCACGGUCACUCUGCAGGGAAUGACAAGAUGCUGGAGCGGACGUACCUCGUCCACGUGACGCGUCUCAGUACCUACAACAAACCCCUGUUUCUAGGUCGCCAAGAUGGCUAUUUUGCUGCUGUGGCCGAGGGUUAAGAAGAUUCGGCUUCCCGACACUCCAAGAGGACGUGGA